This is an RNA transcript of Homalodisca vitripennis (glassy-winged sharpshooter), 2576 nucleotides long. It is a transcript of the gene named fatty-acid amide hydrolase 2-like, with no coding region annotated. The transcript is spliced from 12 exons. Lineage: Eukaryota; Metazoa; Arthropoda; Insecta; Hemiptera; Cicadellidae. The record is from RefSeq and is a predicted model, not a curated record.
UACAAGUCAAAUCAGUUCGUUUUGAAAUGUUUUAUUUGUAAUGUUAAGAAGAUAAUACUAUAAGAGUAAGAGUAAGAAGUUCAGUGGUUUUUAGGAAAGUUAAAAAAGAAGAAUUGUUUAUAUUUAAAAUCAAACAUAACCUUAUAAUUGCAAAACUCUUCUACUUCAGAAAUUUUCUUAUACAUGAAGAGGUGAUACAAAUAUAGAUCCAGAAUGUCCUGUUUGUUGUGGGUGUCUGUGGUUAUGCACAACAUCAUAGACACUGUAGUUGACUUAGUGUUUCGGCUUAUUUACUGCAGUGGUGCAAGGAGCAACAAGUUGAGGCCAAUUAAACAUCCGUUUCUGAUCAACAGUGCCUCUUCUCUGGCUGCGAAAAUAAGAACAAAACAGCUCUCGUCGGAGAAGCUGGUCCAGGCCUGCAUAGAUCGUAUAGUGGAGGUGAACGCAGACCUCAACUGUGUAGUAGACUCCAGGUUCCAGGAGGCACUGGCAGAAGCUCGGAGUGUGGACCAAUUCUUAGAGUCUACAUCUCUAUCAGUUGACGAACUCGAACGUGACAAACCCUUCCUUGGAGUCCCUUUCACUUGUAAAGAGAGCAUUCAGGCAGCAGGCAUGAACCACACAAUGGGCCUGGUGUCCCGGAAAGGUACCAAGGCGAGUGAAGAUUCCACAGUUGUGGCUCGAGUGAAGGCAGGAGGAGGUAUUCUACUGGCAGUCACCAACAUCCCAGAGUUCAUCUGGCAAGAGUCUCGCAACAACGUUUACGGCCAGACCAACAAUCCUUACGAUUUCCACAGAACUGCGGGUGCUUCUUCUGGUGGAUGUGCUGCAGCGGUAGCAGCUUGCCUAGUUCCCAUGGCUGUUGGCUCGGAUACAGGAGGUUCUAUCAGGAUGCCUUGUUACUUCUGUGGGCUGUUCGGCCACAUGCCAACCACAGGGUUGAUCAGCACGAAAGGUAUAUAUUUCCGUACAGGAGAAGAGACAGACCCCACCAUGUCGACAGCCGGAACUUUGACGAGAUAUGCAGAAGACAUCUCUCCCAUGCUCAAGCUCUUGGUGGGAGAAAACGUUGACAAGCUCAAAUUGGAUACCCAGGUGGAUAUGAAACAACUCAGGCUGAGUUUUGUGGUUGAUUUUAACGAGAUGAGGAUGAGUCGUCUCAAUGGUGAAACUAGAACUGUAUUAGAGAAGGCAGUGUCAUACCUGGAGGAACGUUGUGGCUCAAAGGUCAACAAGGUUACCCUGCCAGAACUGUCUCACAGCUACAACCUCUGGCACUACUGGCUGGAAAGGGAGUGGCACACCUUGGCUUACGAACUGGGCAAUAAACAGUACACAGUGUCUGGAGUGAGAGAGCUGGUCAAGAUGGUCCUGGGCAGGUCAGAGUUCACGGUCCCAACUGUACUGAAGCUGUUGGAGUCCUCUCUGUUGCCAGUCGCUCCCAAACAAUGGGCUGAGGACAAAACAGCCAAACUGCGCCAAACGCUUAUUGAGGAGCUAGGAGACGAUGGUGUCCUGGUGCUGCCUAGUUUUCCUACAACAGCUCACCAACACUAUGUGCCUUUCUUCAGGCCAUUCAACUUCUGCUUCUGGGCCAUCGUCAACGUGUUGCACUUCCCUGCCACUCAGGUGCCGCUGGGCCUCAGUCGGGACGGCCUCCCUCUCGGCCUACAGGUUGUUGCCACUCCCGUUACAACGAUCACCUGUGUAUCGCCGUUGCCCAGGAACUUGAGAAUGCCUUCGGUGGUUACGUGCCUCCUUGUGCUGUUGUCUCAUAGUUCAUACAACGAUUGCAUCUUGUAUGUCUAUUCACUACUCACCUUUAUUUUUGGAGAGCAUUGGCUGUAAAAAUAUAUAACUGGGCUCCCAAAUGCUGAAGAGGCAUCAUUGUAUUUGCUGUUUUAUACUUGUAUCAUUAACUGAGUUGUAUUGUGUAAAAAUAAAAUUGUAUAAAAAUGUCAUGUGUUUGUAAUCAAGAGGUCCCAGACCUCCAAGGGCUCCAUUAGAUAACUCUGCUUUGUAAUAGGUAUCCAGUAUCUAGAGUGUAUUGUCCCCCCACAGUGAUUGGCGUAUCUGUCACAAUAGUAGUAGUAUUUCAGUUUGUUUGUUUUUAAAUGCAUUAAUGAAUUUAACUUAUUUAAUGAUGUAUAAUCAGUUGAGUAGAAUAUUAAUAUUGUAAAUAAUAAAUGUAGGAUAUUUUAAUACAAUUACAUACGAAAGUAAAUACCACAAUUUUACUUACAAGAUACAAUUGAAGACAUCAUAAACCACACAUCAAAGUAAAUUUUUCAAUAUUUGAACUUUUGCUCACAUUAAUCCUUUUAGUGCCAAUGUCCUGCUAUCUGGACGUAUAACAAACUAUGUAUAAAGUGCCAACGUCCUUUUUACAGGACUUUCUAAAAUGCCAAUAUCCGGUUAACCGGGCAUCAUGAUAGAAAGUCAUUAAAAAUUCAGAAAUAAACAGUUUAUUUAUUUAGAAACAUUUUCUUAUUUAUAUACAUGGUUUUAUAUAAUACCCACGUUUAUAGUAUGUAUGUAUAAGAUUUUAUUACAGUAGGAUCUAAGACAGUGGCUUU